AACGAACGCUGGCGGCAGGCCUAACACAUGCAAGUCGAGCGAGGACUUCGGUCCUAGCGGCGGACGGGUGGGUAACGCGUGGGAACGUGCCCUUUGCUUCGGAAUAGCCCUGGGAAACUGGGAGUAAUACCGGAUGAGCCCUUUGGGGGAAAGAUUUAUCGGCGAAGGAUCGGCCCGCGUUGGAUUAGGUAGUUGGUGGGGUAAUGGCCUACCAAGCCGACGAUCCAUAGCUGGUUUGAGAGGAUGAUCAGCCACACUGGGACUGAGACACGGCCCAGACUCCUACGGGAGGCAGCAGUGGGGAAUCUUAGACAAUGGGGGAAACCCUGAUCUAGCCAUGCCGCGUGAGCGAUGAAGGCCUUAGGGUUGUAAAGCUCUUUCAGCUGGGAAGAUAAUGACGGUACCAGCAGAAGAAGCCCCGGCUAACUCCGUG
This 433-nucleotide ribosomal RNA is filed under the name uncultured bacterium. RNAcentral describes it as "partial 16S ribosomal RNA". It matches the Rfam family "Bacterial small subunit ribosomal RNA", at positions 29 to 507 of the family's 1533-position model. The record is from RNAcentral.